RNAcentral lists this ribosomal RNA (190 nucleotides) under Corynebacterium striatum. RNAcentral describes it as "partial 23S ribosomal RNA". It matches the Rfam family "Bacterial large subunit ribosomal RNA", at positions 2727 to 2925 of the family's 2925-position model. The record is from RNAcentral. Lineage: Bacteria; Bacillati; Actinomycetota; Actinomycetes; Mycobacteriales; Corynebacteriaceae.
CGCCAGGAGCAUCGCUGGUUGGCUACGUACGGAAGGGAUAACCGCUGAAAGCAUCUAAGCGGGAAGCCUGUUUUAAGAUGAGGUUUCAUUUGAGGUCCCCUAAAGACUAUGGGGUUGAUAGGCCAGACAUGGAAGCACCGCAAGGUGUGGAGUCUACUGGUACUAAUAGACCAAAACAAACACACACGAC